Molecule: ribosomal RNA, 273 nt
Filed under: Triticum aestivum (bread wheat)
Lineage: Eukaryota; Viridiplantae; Streptophyta; Magnoliopsida; Poales; Poaceae
Description: partial small subunit ribosomal RNA
Source: RNAcentral
AUGCAGCAUAUUAGACAGUUCUUCUCUCUCUGGAUGCUCCUGGACGAGGUCCAUCUUAACGAGCUCACCGAAGACAACAUCCUUUGGAAGGACACAACCUCUGGCCAUUACACGGCGUCCUCCGCGUACAAGGCACAAUUUCUAGGCUUGGUUCACUCCCCCAUGGAUCAAAUGAUUUGAAAGGCUUGGGCACCAUCGAGGGUGAAGUUUUUUGCUUGGCUUGCAAUUCAGGAUAGACUCUGGACGGCCGAUCGGUUGGCUAAGCGUGGAUAG